AACGAACGCUGGCGGCAUGCCUAACACAUGCAAGUCGAACGAGACCUUCGGGUCUAGUGGCGCACGGGUGCGUAACGCGUGGGAACCUGCCCUUAGGUUCGGAAUAACCCCCCGAAAGGGGUGCUAAUAACGGAUAAGGUUUUCGGAGCAAAGAUUUAUCGCCUUUGGAUGGGCCCGCGUUUGUUUAGCUAGUUGGUAGGGUAAAAGCCUACCAAGGCGACGAUCCAUAGCUGGUCUGAGAGGAUGAUCAGCCACACUGGGACUGAGACACGGCCCAGACUCCUACGGGAGGCAGCAGUGGGGAAUAUUGGACAAUGGGCGAAAGCCUGAUCCAGCAAUGCCGCGUGAGUGAUGAAGGCCUUGGGGUUGUAAAGCUCUUUUACCCGGGAUGAUAAUGACAGUACCGGGAGAAUAAGCUCCGGCUAACUCCGUG
Molecule: ribosomal RNA, 433 nt
Filed under: uncultured bacterium
Lineage: Bacteria
Description: partial 16S ribosomal RNA
Rfam family: Bacterial small subunit ribosomal RNA
Source: RNAcentral